UCCAACUUCUUCUUUCAUGAAUAAAUCACAAGAAAAACCUUGAAACAAAACUAUAAUAAGCUUUAACUUGUAAGCGAAUGCGUUACCGGAUCGUUGCCAGCUCAAUACUAUUUGAUGAAGAUGGAGAAGAUUGGUUUAAGGGUGAUGGUCGGAAGUGAUGCGUUUGUGGUGCGUACGAUGAGGACACGGGGAAUAUGGUAACGGUUGUUUGCAAGUCAGUUUGGGAUGGCCGUUUGGUCCUUGAAAUGGAAGAGAAUGUCUUGAGUUUUAGGGGCUUACCAGGCGGUGAGCUCAAAGAAGGUUUUUUUUUCAUUAUCUGUUUUUGCUUUUUUUUUAACAAAAGAUAUGAACGAUAAAUAUGGGUAAGGACAGUAGUGCUAUGUAUCUAUACGGAAGAAAAUAG
Molecule: long non-coding RNA, 403 nt
Filed under: Lathyrus oleraceus (garden pea)
Lineage: Eukaryota; Viridiplantae; Streptophyta; Magnoliopsida; Fabales; Fabaceae
Description: Pisum sativum (pea) long non-coding RNA (PSAT_LNC024243)
Source: RNAcentral